RNAcentral lists this ribosomal RNA (253 nucleotides) under uncultured bacterium. Its description in RNAcentral is "partial 16S ribosomal RNA". It matches the Rfam family "Bacterial small subunit ribosomal RNA", at positions 524 to 776 of the family's 1533-position model. The record is from RNAcentral.
UACGUAGGGCGCAAGCGUUGUCCGGAAUUAUUGGGCGUAAAGAGCUCGUAGGUGGCUUGUCGCGUCGGUUGUGAAAGCCCACAGCUUAACUGCGGGCCUGCGGUUGAUACGGGCGGGCUAGAGUUCGGUAGGGGAGACUGGAACUCCUGGUGUAGCGGUGAAAUGCGCAGAUAUCAGGAGGAACACCGGUGGCGAAGGCGGGUCUCUGGGCCGAUACUGACGCUGAGGAGCGAAAGCGUGGGGAGCGAACAGG